This 769-nucleotide long non-coding RNA is filed under the name Trifolium pratense (red clover). RNAcentral's name for it is "long non-coding RNA (TPRA_LNC007176)". Lineage: Eukaryota; Viridiplantae; Streptophyta; Magnoliopsida; Fabales; Fabaceae. The record is from RNAcentral.
CUAUGAUUUUUUAGGUGAAAAGUCAUUGAUUUUAACUUAUUCAAGUAUAUAAUUUAAUGAAUCAUAAAGAAAAAGAGAACUAUAGCUUUCUUCACACUUAUAAACUAUAAUAAGAUUGACUUUUUAAACAUUACUUAAUUAUUUACCAGUUUUAAAGGACAAUUAUAAAUUUCAUAUUUGUAGUCGUCUUUAAUUCCUGUUAAAAAAAAAAACUUAACUCUAUAGAGUGUUCAAUAGUGUUUUUUGUCCUAUACUAUACCCACAUCAUCACAUGAUUAAUUUUAUCCUAUAGUAUCAACAUAGUUAUUUUUAUAAUUUUUUUAUUAUAUAUCUGGUACUUUCACUUAUAAAUAUAUUACAUCCCUUUUUCUAUCUAAUGUGGGAUUCAACAUUUGAAAAUCCAUCAAUGGGACACGCCAUCUGAACACUUUGGUCAGUAAGAUUUUCAAUACAAGGAAUCAGUUCAAUCAUCGGCUUUGAUACCCCUCAAACUUUUUUCAAAAACCUUAAACAAUAGAUUCAUAAGUUCUUUCACUUAAAAAAUAUUCAACAUCCAUUUUUCUAUUUAAUGUGAGACUUAACUCACACUUAUCAAAGACAAAUUACUACCAUGAAAAUAUUAAUAAAAAAGCUAUGGAAAUGCAAAGUUAAUUACUACAUAUAUACUACAAGUUAAUAUUAUCUAAAAUAUUAAUUAAUCCACAUACCUGAAUAUCAAAGAUGCUUAGCCAAGGCAAAAAAUCUGUCAAAUUAAAACUUCCAGCCAAGU